This is a long non-coding RNA of Brienomyrus brachyistius, 1765 nucleotides long. RefSeq lists it as uncharacterized. NCBI's taxonomy places the organism in Eukaryota, Metazoa, Chordata, Actinopteri, Osteoglossiformes, Mormyridae. The record is from RefSeq and is a predicted model, not a curated record. The transcript is spliced from 3 exons.
UAUAAACAGGAACAGAGACGGACCCCUUUGUCCACUAGGAGCUGCUGGGAGCAGCCACCCAGGAGGAGAUCUCUGAAAGGCUUCAGUCGUCGGGUGACAAAAAGCAGGAGGAGAGAAGGGCUCGCACCCUCAGGGAAAGCAGGCAUGGCAUGUUGUCAAGAGCUGGGAUUCUCUUACCUCUUGUUUCAGUUCUUUACAAUGUCGGCUCAGACGCCAGGAAGCCAGCAGGAAAUGUUGCGUGGAGAGGUAAGGAGUUGCUGGUGGCCCGUGGCUGUAGCUGGGAGAGCUGCGCAUGAAGUGGGGGUUCCCUAGCUGCUAUUUGCUAUUUCCCUAGCGAUAUUCGCAGGGGACUAGCGAGACAUCCCAGGCCCCCUGAGAAAAUGUCACCUUGGGCCCCCUGCUCUGGUUGACACUUUCAGUCGCUCAGUUGAUUUUGCCGAGCGACCAUGGGGCCCCUACAAAGUGAGGGGCCCCCCCUGAAUUUGUCACGGUAUUCGUACCCCUCUGGUGCCCCUGGAUGGAUGGUUCCAAAGAGCAUGGAAUGACCGCGAUUUGGGAAAAUCGAGACCAGAAACACACCAUGUGCGCCAUGUACUGGUUACAUGCCCUGGUCUCCAGAAAUUCUCCAGAAUGAAAACAAACACUUACAAUAACCGGGGGUUGAGCCUUAUGGGGCACCAGUGAGUCACUGUAAAGUACUCUGUCAUCGGAAGGAAGCAUGUUCCUGCAGGAGGCCCGGAGACCCAGAUAAACCCCACCCCCCCACCUUAACAGGAGGUCACAGAUGGAGUCUGGUAGAGUCCAUUCAAAUCCCCUGGGCAGCAGCUGUGUCAACGCAGGGGGCAGAAGAUGGCAGAAUGAGCUACGGAUCAUUUGGGGUACAGGGAAGAGGAAACAGGAGGAAGGGGGUGUUUCCUUCCCCCUGAAGUUAUCUGGAGCAUGUGGGGACAGUCCCUGGGGCAGGAAGGAGAGGACAGGCGACAGGCCCAGAGCCCUGCCAGAUAAAACGCACCUUUGGGACAGUGACGUCGUUGGGAGCAAAAGCUGCCAAGAACAUCAGCAGAAAUAAACUGAACAACGCUGGCUUUGCACUGCGGUGGUUGCAGAGUACAAAUGCUGCACGAAACCAGUACAUCCAGUAAGGAAAAGGAUUCUCACCACCAGCCCUAAAAGAGGCCAAAUCGUGAUCAGCAAAGCCUGGUGCUUUCAGACAGCCUAAAUGUGGGAAGCAUGUUGAGAGUAUUUCAAAAUUUCUAUCUGGUGUGACUGGUGUUUUGGGGGGAAGUGUUGCAUAGGUUCUAGGUCAAGUCCUCUUAGGCCAGACUGAUCCUCACUUCCUUAUCAUGGUGUAAUAAGGGAAAACCAGCAGCAGGGGGCACAUGCAUCAUAUUUGACGUUGCCAGUUCCUGCCAGGUGGCAGCCGGUCUCACUGGGAACUGGUUAAACUUCUCUGUGAAAAGUGCGAGGGAUAUAGGCAAGCGAUGAAAUGUCAGGCUGUUGAGAGGGCAGCCUGCAAUGGGGCUUCCGGUUCUUAAUGACAAAAUACACAUGUGAUAAAGGAGAAGUCCUUUCCAACUUCCGGAAGUCGUUUUGUGGCUCUUUGUACAGUGAUGUACAUUCCGCUGCUCAAUACUUCCCCUCUUAGCUCAGAUAUUGUUACUGACCAAACGAUUAAUUUCCAAAAACUAAAUAAACUUUAUGAGAUUCAUUGCUGACUUCAAUGCCGAAUGUGUAUUUUGUAUUUUUGGAUUCAGUGGACGACAGA